UACGUAGGGGGCAAGCGUUGUCCGGAUUCAUUGGGCGUAAAGAGCGUGUAGGCGGCCAGGUAGGUCGGUUGUGAAAACUGGAUGCUCAACCUUCAGAGGUCGACCGAAACCAUCUGGCUAGAGUCCGGGAGAGGAGAGUGGAAUUCCUGGUGUAGCGGUGAAAUGCGCAGAUAUCAGGAAGAACACCCGUGGCGAAAGCGGCUCUCUGGAACGGUACUGACGCUGAGACGCGAAAGCGUGGGGAGCGAACAGG
RNAcentral lists this ribosomal RNA (253 nucleotides) under uncultured bacterium. RNAcentral's name for it is "partial 16S ribosomal RNA". It matches the Rfam family "Bacterial small subunit ribosomal RNA", at positions 524 to 776 of the family's 1533-position model. The record is from RNAcentral.